RNA transcript from Papaver somniferum (opium poppy), 1072 nucleotides. It is a transcript of the gene named actin-related protein 2/3 complex subunit 3, with no coding region annotated. The transcript has 6 exons. The record is from RefSeq and is a predicted model, not a curated record. NCBI's taxonomy places the organism in Eukaryota, Viridiplantae, Streptophyta, Magnoliopsida, Ranunculales, Papaveraceae.
CACGUCAGAUUUAACACAGAGCCUGGCCUGCUCAUUAAAAUUCCCGAAAAGAAUCUGUUGCACUUACCGUAUGAAGAAGUUAUCUCCUGGAUCAUCAUCAUCUCCUCUUUAAGCUAAUAAGAAAACCUUUGUCAGAUUGAAAUACACAGAACGGGCGAGGAUAUUACAUUGCUGAAACGAGGACUGCUCUUGAAAAGGUCACAAAGGAGAACACCAUUGGUCACCAUCUUGCUGACUGUGUGUGCUUGAUAGAUUGCUCACCCGUUAUCUCAUAGCAAACACUCAGAAUGUUCAAGGACACAUAAUAAUUUGGUUAAAACUAAGUUCAAGAAAAUAAAGACUCUUAUACUAAGGUAUACCAUUCGAGUUUUGUUGAUGAUGAAGGUAUCACUAAAGCUUGUGGAUGUCCUCUACUUCCAUUAAAAAGCCAUAUCAAGGGUCCUGCUCCCGUCUCAGAUCAAGAAACUGACAUUGUCGACGAAGCAAUCACAUUCUUUCGUGCCAAUGUAUUCUUCAGAAACUUUGAUGUAAAGAGCUCAGCGGACAAACUGCUUAUAUAUUUGACAUUUUACAUAAAUGUGGCUCUGAAAAGACUCGAGGGGUGCAGAACCUUGGCAGGAGGAACGAAGGCCAUCAUAAACUUGGGUCUCGAGGAUGUCCCUGUGCCUGGGGAGGCAGGUUUUCCCUUUGCAGGCCUUUUUCCCCUUCCUCAAUCUGACGAAGAAGCAGAGCUAUUCAGGAACUAUCUAAAGCAGAUAAGAGAAGAAACCAGUGGAAGACUGUUGGGUGUUGCAUACAGACCUAAUGGGACCCCAAAUAAAUGGUGGAUAGCAUUCGCCAAGAGGAAAUUCAUGAACAUUAUUGUUCCCCAACAUUAGUUUUUUAAUUUAUUUUUUUAAAAACAAAAUAAAAUGGGUUCCUCUUUGUAAGAAGUCCCAAUCUUUAUGCACAGUACUUACAAAUUUUGUGAUCGACUUGAAUUUUGUUCCUGUAAUUGUUGUUGUGUAUUCCAAACACUGUAAAGAAAAAUAGUAAUGUAUGUUGAAAUUCAAAUAUUUUCGCAUACGCAGAA